This 446-nucleotide ribosomal RNA is filed under the name uncultured bacterium. RNAcentral describes it as "bacterial SSU rRNA". It matches the Rfam family "Bacterial small subunit ribosomal RNA", at positions 329 to 792 of the family's 1533-position model. The record is from RNAcentral.
UUCCAGACUCCUACGGGAGGCAGCAGUGGGGAAUAUUGCACAAUGGGGGAAACCCUGAUGCAGCAACGCCGCGUGAGUGAAGAAGUCAUUCGUGAUGUAAAGCUCUAUCAGCAGGGAAGAAAAUGACGGUACCCGAGUAAGAAGCCCCGGCUAACUACGUACCAGCAGCCGCGGUAAUACGUAGGGGGCAAGCGUUAUCCGGAUUUACUGGGUGUAAAGGGAGCGUAGACGGCCAGACAAGUCUGAAGUGAAAAUCCAGCGCUUAACGUUGGAAGUGCUUUGGAAACUGCCGGGCUGGAGUGCAGGAGGGGCAGGCGGAAUUCCUAGUGUAGCGGUGAAAUGCGUAGAUAUUAGGAGGAACACCAGUGGCGAAGGCGGCCUGCUGGGCUUUUACUGACGCUGAGGCUCGAAAGUGUGGGGAGCAAACAGGAUUAGAUACCCGUGUA